This 253-nucleotide ribosomal RNA is filed under the name uncultured bacterium. RNAcentral describes it as "partial 16S ribosomal RNA". It matches the Rfam family "Bacterial small subunit ribosomal RNA", at positions 524 to 776 of the family's 1533-position model. The record is from RNAcentral.
GACGGAGGAUGCAAGUGUUAUCCAGAAUCACUGGGCGUAAAGCGUCUGUAGGUCGUAUAACAAGUCUACUGUUAAAAAUCGAAGCUUAACUUCAAAGAUGCCGUAGAAACUUUUAAACUUGAGUAUGGUAGGGGUAGAGGGAAUUUCCAGUGGAGCGGUGAAAUGCGUAGAUAUUGGAAAGACAACCAAUGGCGAAGGCACUCUACUGGGCCAUUACUGACACUGAGAGACGAAAGCUAGGGGAGCAAAUGGG